UAAGAUUUAGUUAGAUUUUUAAUAUAACAUUAAAUUGUCAGUUUAAAGUAAUUUUAAUUUUUAAAAUAUUCUUAA
RNAcentral lists this transfer RNA (75 nucleotides) under Pachycephus smyrnensis. RNAcentral's name for it is "tRNA-Asp". The record is from RNAcentral. Lineage: Eukaryota; Metazoa; Arthropoda; Insecta; Hymenoptera; Cephidae.